This 253-nucleotide ribosomal RNA is filed under the name uncultured bacterium. RNAcentral describes it as "partial 16S ribosomal RNA". It matches the Rfam family "Bacterial small subunit ribosomal RNA", at positions 524 to 776 of the family's 1533-position model. The record is from RNAcentral.
UACGUAGGCAGCGAGCGUUGUUCGGAAUUACUGGGCGUAAAGAGUGUGUAGGCGGUGCUCUAAGUUCGGUGUGAAAUCUCUCGGCUUAACUGGGAGGGUGCGUCGGAAACUGGAGUGCUCGAACGUGGGAGAGGAAAGCGGAAUUCCUGGUGUAGCGGUGAAAUGCGUAGAUAUCAGGAGGAACACCUGCGGUGUAGACGGCUUUCUGGACCAUUGUUGACGCUGAGACACGAAAGCGUGGGUAGCAAACAGG